AACAUAUAUUCAGCAGAUCACAACAGUAGAUGGACAGACCAUACAGCACUUAAUGACCAGAGACAACCAGGUCACUGAGGUCCAGUAUAUCAUCUCUCAGGAUGGAGUUCAGCAUUUGCUCCCAAGAGAGUAUGUGCUGGUAUCAUGGGAAACACAUUCAGAUGGGGGACUGGCAAAUCACUCACAUUCAGUAUGAACAUGAUGGGAUGUUUCUACAGGAACAACAGCAAAGGUGUCAACUGGCUACUCCAGCAUGAACCAGUCGUGGUAAGGCAUCUGUCCUAGAAGAAUUCUGUGCUCUGGAAUCUGCUGCAGACAAGCCCACAUCAGAUC
Non-coding RNA from Danio rerio (zebrafish), 333 nucleotides. Lineage: Eukaryota; Metazoa; Chordata; Actinopteri; Cypriniformes; Danionidae. The record is from RefSeq and is a predicted model, not a curated record.